Molecule: long non-coding RNA, 2542 nt
Organism: Homo sapiens (human)
Lineage: Eukaryota; Metazoa; Chordata; Mammalia; Primates; Hominidae
Gene: RNF157-AS1
Product: RNF157 antisense RNA 1
Source: Ensembl
CUGCCGCUGACAGCCUCUGGCCAAAGCCCUCGGCUCCCCCAGGGCCUGGACCACCGUCUCCCUUUGCCUGGGCCUGGCUGGCCCUCUCUGAGAGGACUAAGCACCUGCUGCGAGGAAGGACAGGGAUCCUCAGGAAGGGGGUCCUGGCCACUGUGGCUACUGUUUACCUGAAUCUCCUUCAUCUCAGCUCCUUCCUCCCUCCUCCCAGGUAACACCACACUGUGAAUACUACCUGCAGGGGACAGGACAGGAGGUGGUCUGUGUGCCACCACCCCAGGGUAAGGGAAGCUCCCUGUCACCUGCUGCUUCUGGGCUCAUAUUUCAGGGAAAUCAGGAAGUGGGGUUAUUGCUCAGCUUAUGCAUCUUAACUAUGAAAGGGGCGGGAAGAAUGUAGGGGGAAGGAAGGAAAGAACAUUAGGUGGGGCCUGAAAUGGUAAAGUCUACUGCAGUUUUUCAGAGAGGGUUGGACGACAGGCCCCCCUCUCCAUCAGGGCAGGAUGUGAGCCACAACCACUAGGCAGUGAGACAGUCACUGCACUCCUGGCCUCUGCAGCCACACAGAAACGAAGGACCCCCUGGGCACCAGGCUCUUUUUGAGGCUGCCUUGGAAACAGCCUUGAAUUUUUUUUUUUUUGUUUGAGACAGAGUUUCGAUCUUUUCAAUCUUGUAGCCCAGGCUGGAGUGCAGUGGCACGAUCUUGGCUCACCGCAACCUCCACCUCCUGAGUUCAAGCGAUUCUCCUGCCUCAGCCUCCCGAGUAGCUGGGGAGGGCCCUUGAAGUGAAGGCCCUGAGCCCUGAUUCCAACCUCUGCUCCCAGCACACUGCUGCUGGCCACAUGCUGCUGCCUGAACUUAGCUCAAGGCUCUCCAUCACUUCCUUUGGGGACCUGGGCACCAAACUGAGAAUCACUGGUCCACAUUUCUCUCAACCAUUAACAAAAGGGGGUAGAGAUGGGGGCAACAGGGACAAGAAUGCCACCUCCCAAUUGAGUGAGGAUGAAUUAUGGUAAUAUACGACCACUCCUCACCCAGUGCUUGGCACACAGAGGUGGUCAACACAUGUGUUUCUUGAAAUGUCACCUUAGGAUGGAGUUGCAGGCCUCCCUGAAUGCACCUGAUCAGGAGAAAUGCUCCUUAAGGGAAAUCAUCUUAACUGGGGGAUUCUCAGAUUCAAGGGCUCCUUCUUUUUUUUUUUUUUUCUCUGUCGCCCAGGCUGGAGUGCAUUGGCGCGAUCUCGGCUCACUGCAAGCUCCGCCUCCCGGGUUCAGGCCAUUCUCCUGCCUCAGCCUCCCAAGUAGCUGGGACUACAGGCGCCUGCAACCAUGCCCAGCUAAUUUUUUGUAUUUUUAGUAGAGACGGGGUUUCGCCGUGUUAGCCAGGAUGGUCUCGAUCUCCUGAUCUCAUGAUCCACCCGCCUCGGCCUCCCAAAGUGCUGGGAUUACAGGCGUGAGCCACCGCGCCCGGCCAAGAGCUCCUUCUUAACCGCACAGGCAUGUGAGGCCCAGAAGACUGGCUCUGCCACCAGAAGGAAGGAUUGUUUCCUUCAACCAACCUUUUGGUUGCUACCAUUUCUUGUCCUUGAGAAAGGUGCUCCUAGUGCUUGUAGAGGGAAACGCUACGUCCGUGCAGUAUGGCUCUCCCUUUCCACAGGAGCGAUCCUCCAGCCCUACCCCAAACUGCAGGUUUCCAAUUGGUUAUGAUGUGCCAGAGACCAGGAAAUGCCAGAGGGAUGUUUGUAACAAAGCUGCCAAACUCUAAGCCUUCUUGUUCUACCCCCUAAGGAGAAAAAAGAUGUGUAAGAAAUUAGCCCAUGGACCCCAGCUCCACCUGAACAUCAAUAUACCGUGAGGACAUUCCAGAGUCCCUGCAAAAGGUCUCGUGAGCUGCAGUUCAUUGAGUGGCUUUAGGUCACACGGAGAAAGGAGGGUUCCAGUUCCCUCUGAGAGGUGAGGGAUUGUGGUUACAGGUUGUAACAGCUGUCACAGGAGGGUAAAAAGUCUCCAGCAUCUUGCUGAGGAUGCCCAGUAGGCAGCAGCUGAGUGAGGAUGGAUGGAAUGCAGGGCAGGAGGGGAGCCCAAGUGCAGAGGCUGGGGCUCAGACAGCCAAAGGGCCCCACACACAGGGCCUCGUCUCAGAGUCCUCCAGGCUGCUGGAUGACAAGCGCCGGCGCUGGGCAUUCCGACUGACGGCAUUGUCAUCAGCCUGCCAGGCACCUGGGGAAGAGAAAAUGAACAUUACAGGAGCCAGACCUUUGGCCAAAUCCAGAUGGUGUCUCCAGCAGGGCAGCCCAGGAGCCGGCACGGAAGGAGCAGGAUGCGUGUCACCUGAGACUCCGAUGACGGUGCGAGCCACAGCACUCGUGUGUGAGAACGGAGAGAAGCAGGUGCUGACAGGUGCAGAGCCUGCUCCUGCCCCCUGGGCUAGGUACAGUCACUGCCACUGUGGCUCCCGGACAGGGAGGGACAUGAAAGAUGUUCCUUGUUUUGCGAACUUACCCUGGGAUCCACUUUUGUAUUUUAAUUACUUGGUUUUAAAGUUUGCC